RNAcentral lists this ribosomal RNA (128 nucleotides) under Rugamonas fusca. Its description in RNAcentral is "partial 23S ribosomal RNA". The stretch from base 1 to 109 matches the Rfam family "Bacterial large subunit ribosomal RNA", at positions 2814 to 2925 of the family's 2925-position model. The record is from RNAcentral. Lineage: Bacteria; Pseudomonadati; Pseudomonadota; Betaproteobacteria; Burkholderiales; Oxalobacteraceae.
CUUGAGCUCCUUGAAGGGUCGUUCGAGACCAGGACGUUGAUAGGUCAGGUGUGGAAGUGCAGUAAUGCAUUAAGCUAACUGAUACUAAUUGCCCGUACGGCUUGUCCCUAUAACCUUAGCAGGUUGUA